RNAcentral lists this long non-coding RNA (475 nucleotides) under Bos indicus x Bos taurus (hybrid cattle). RNAcentral's name for it is "lncRNA (ENSBIXG00005010215.1)". Lineage: Eukaryota; Metazoa; Chordata; Mammalia; Artiodactyla; Bovidae. The record is from RNAcentral.
GUUGUAUCUGUGAUCUAAUACCAUUGAUAGCUGCAAAUAUUUUGAAUUUCCAAAGGACUUUCUAUUAAAGAUGCUUUCAAAUGCAAUCACGUUCAAAAACCCCAAGACUUUUUUCUAGGGCUGGAACAGCCUUCUAGUUUGGACUGUUUUUGUCAUCACAGUUUCCUGGAGAUGGCAGCAAAGUACACAGAAGCAAAGGGACCAACCAUACCACAUAAACAAGCGGCAAGAUUAAUGGCGCUGUGCAGUUCUGGGGAUGACUGACGAAAUGCAUCGGCCUCUUCUGCUCUCAAGUGACAGGGCAGGUCCUGUGGCCUCUGAAAGUCUUACCUCAGUGACUGCUCAUGGUGCCGACCUCCUGGGUCAAGAGUCGUGUCUUCGCAGGAUCUCAAAGCCUCAGGCCUUGAAGGGGCAGAGAAAUGUCUUGGUUUGGAUGAUAAAUGAUAUGGUCACAGAUGCUUCAUUCCACCCUUGA